GCCAAUGUAGCUCAGAGGUAGAGCACUUCCUUGGUAAGGAAGAGGUCGCGGGUUCAAGUCCCGCCAUCGGCU
Molecule: transfer RNA, 72 nt
Filed under: Muribaculaceae bacterium
Lineage: Bacteria; Pseudomonadati; Bacteroidota; Bacteroidia; Bacteroidales; Muribaculaceae
Description: tRNA-Thr
Rfam family: tRNA
About the family: Transfer RNA (tRNA) molecules are approximately 80 nucleotides in length. Their secondary structure includes four short double-helical elements and three loops (D, anti-codon, and T loops).
Source: RNAcentral